Molecule: RNase P RNA, 202 nt
Filed under: Oscillospiraceae bacterium
Lineage: Bacteria; Bacillati; Bacillota; Clostridia; Eubacteriales; Oscillospiraceae
Description: partial RNase P RNA component class A
Rfam family: Bacterial RNase P class A
About the family: Ribonuclease P (RNase P) is a ubiquitous endoribonuclease, found in archaea, bacteria and eukarya as well as chloroplasts and mitochondria. Its best characterised activity is the generation of mature 5'-ends of tRNAs by cleaving the 5'-leader elements of precursor-tRNAs.
Source: RNAcentral
AGGGUGGAAAGGCGAGGUAAGAGCUCACCCAAUGGCGUGUCAAGCGCCCAUUGCUGUAAACUCUAUCCGGAGCAACUCCGUGGGAACACAUACAGGCCGGCCCGGCCGUGUUCAGGAGGCGGCUUGAGCGUACUGGCGACGGUAUGUCGAGAUAGAUGGCUGUCUUAAAUGACAGAACCCGGCUUACAGGCUUACUUGCACC